RNAcentral lists this ribosomal RNA (495 nucleotides) under uncultured bacterium. RNAcentral's name for it is "partial 16S ribosomal RNA". It matches the Rfam family "Bacterial small subunit ribosomal RNA", at positions 28 to 507 of the family's 1533-position model. The record is from RNAcentral.
GACGAACGCUGGCGGCGUGCCUAAUACAUGCAAGUAGAACGCUGAAGGAGGAGCUUGCUUCUCUGGAUGAGUUGCGAACGGGUGAGUAACGCGUAGGUAACCUGCCUGGUAGCGGGGGAUAACUAUUGGAAACGAUAGCUAAUACCGCAUAAUAGUAGAUGUUGCAUGACAUUUGCUUAAAAGGUGCAAUUGCAUCACUACCAGAUGGACCUGCGUUGUAUUAGCUAGUUGGUGGGGUAACGGCUCACCAAGGCGACGAUACAUAGCCGACCUGAGAGGGUGAUCGGCCACACUGGGACUGAGACACGGCCCAGACUCCUACGGGAGGCAGCAGUAGGGAAUAUUCGGCAAUGGACGGAAGUCUGACCGAGCAACGCCGCGUGAGUGAAGAAGGGUGUCGGAUCGUAAAGCUCUGUUGUAAGAGAAGAACGAGUGUGAGAGUGGAAAGUUCACACUGUGACGGUAUCUUACCAGAAAGGGACGGCUAACUACGUG